This 754-nucleotide ribosomal RNA is filed under the name Massilia sp. RNAcentral describes it as "bacterial SSU rRNA". It matches the Rfam family "Bacterial small subunit ribosomal RNA", at positions 53 to 804 of the family's 1533-position model. The record is from RNAcentral. Lineage: Bacteria; Pseudomonadati; Pseudomonadota; Betaproteobacteria; Burkholderiales; Oxalobacteraceae.
ACAUGCAGUCGAACGGCAGCGCGGGGCAACCUGGCGGCGAGUGGCGAACGGGUGAGUAAUAUAUCGGAACGUACCCAAGAGUGGGGGAUAACGUAGCGAAAGUUACGCUAAUACCGCAUACGAUCUAAGGAUGAAAGCAGGGGAUCUUCGGACCUUGUGCUCCUGGAGCGGCCGAUAUCUGAUUAGCUAGUUGGUGAGGUAAAGGCUCACCAAGGCCACGAUCAGUAGCUGGUCUGAGAGGACGACCAGCCACACUGGAACUGAGACACGGUCCAGACUCCUACGGGAGGCAGCAGUGGGGAAUUUUGGACAAUGGGCGAAAGCCUGAUCCAGCAAUGCCGCGUGAGUGAAGAAGGCCUUCGGGUUGUAAAGCUCUUUUGUCAGGGAAGAAACGGUGAGGGCUAAUAUCCCUCGCUAAUGACGGUACCUGAAGAAUAAGCACCGGCUAACUACGUGCCAGCAGCCGCGGUAAUACGUAGGGUGCAAGCGUUAAUCGGAAUUACUGGGCGUAAAGCGUGCGCAGGCGGUUUUGUAAGUCUGACGUGAAAUCCCCGGGCUCAACCUGGGAAUUGCGUUGGAGACUGCAAGGCUAGAAUCUGGCAGAGGGGGGUAGAAUUCCACGUGUAGCAGUGAAAUGCGUAGAGAUGUGGAGGAACACCGAUGGCGAAGGCAGCCCCCUGGGUCAAGAUUGACGCUCAUGCACGAAAGCGUGGGGGAGCAAACAGGAUUAGAUACCCUGGUAGUCCACGCCCUA